RNAcentral lists this ribosomal RNA (494 nucleotides) under uncultured bacterium. RNAcentral describes it as "partial 16S ribosomal RNA". It matches the Rfam family "Bacterial small subunit ribosomal RNA", at positions 28 to 523 of the family's 1533-position model. The record is from RNAcentral.
GAUGAACGCUAGCGGCAGGCCUAACACAUGCAAGUCGAGGGGUAGAACACUUCGGUGUUUGAGACCGGCGCACGGGUGCGUAACGCGUAUGCAAUCUAACUUAUACAGGGGAAUAGCCCAGAGCAACUUGGAUUACUGCUCUAUAGCAUUACGACUUGGCAUCCAGAUGUAAUUAAAGUUACAACGGUAUAAGAUGAGCAUGCGUCCCAUUAGUUAGUUGGUACGGUAACGGCUGACCAAGACGAGGAUGGGUAGGGGGCUUGAGAGGGAGAUCCCCCACACUGGUACUGAGACACGGACCAGACUCCUACGGGAGGCAGCAGUGAGAAAUAUUGGUCAAUGGUCGCAAGACUGAACCAGCCAUGCCGCGUGCAGGAAGACGGUCCUAUGGAUUGUAAACUGCUUUUAUACAGGAAGAAACCCUCCCACGUGUGGGAGCUUGACGGUACUGUAGGAAUAAGGAUCGGCUAACUCCGUGCCAGCCGCCGCCGUAA